This 428-nucleotide ribosomal RNA is filed under the name uncultured Bacteroidota bacterium. Its description in RNAcentral is "bacterial SSU rRNA". It matches the Rfam family "Bacterial small subunit ribosomal RNA", at positions 954 to 1382 of the family's 1533-position model. The record is from RNAcentral. Lineage: Bacteria; Pseudomonadati; Bacteroidota.
AUGAUACGCGAGGAACCUUACCUGGGCUCCAAAUGUAUGUUGACGUAUUCUGAAAGGGAUACUUCUUCGGACAAUAUACAAGGUGCUGCAUGGUUGUCGUCAGCUCGUGCCGUGAGGUGUCGGGUUAAGUCCCAUAACGAGCGCAACCCCUAUCAUUAGUUGCCAUCAGGUCAAGCUGGGGACUCUAAUGAAACUGCCUACGCAAGUAGUGAGGAAGGUGGGGACGACGUCAAGUCAUCAUGGCCCUUAUGUCCUGGGCUACACACGUGCUACAAUGGCCGGUACAGAGUGAAGCGAAACCGCGAGGUGAAGCAAAACGCAGAAAGCCGGUCUCAGUACGGAUUGGAGUCUGAAACUCGACUUCAUGAAGUUGGAAUCGCUAGUAAUCGCGCAUCAGCAUGGCGCGGUAGAAUACGUUCCCGGGCCUU